AGUGAACGCUGGCGGUAGGCCUAACACAUGCAAGUCGAACGGCAGCACAGUAAGAGCUUGCUCUUACGGGUGGCGAGUGGCGGACGGGUGAGGAAUACAUCGGAAUCUACUUUUUCGUGGGGGAUAACGUAGGGAAACUUACGCUAAUACCGCAUACGACCUACGGGUGAAAGCAGGGGAUCUUCGGACCUUGCGCGAUUGAAUGAGCCGAUGUCGGAUUAGCUAGUUGGCGGGGUAAAGGCCCACCAAGGCGACGAUCCGUAGCUGGUCUGAGAGGAUGAUCAGCCACACUGGAACUGAGACACGGUCCAGACUCCUACGGGAGGCAGCAGUGGGGAAUAUUGGACAAUGGGCGCAAGCCUGAUCCAGCCAUACCGCGUGGGUGAAGAAGGCCUUCGGGUUGUAAAGCCCUUUUGUUGGGAAAAAAAAGCAGCAGGUUAAUACCCCGCUGUUCUGACGGUACCCAAAGAAUAGGCACCGGCUAACUUCGUG
This 492-nucleotide ribosomal RNA is filed under the name uncultured bacterium. RNAcentral describes it as "partial 16S ribosomal RNA". It matches the Rfam family "Bacterial small subunit ribosomal RNA", at positions 29 to 507 of the family's 1533-position model. The record is from RNAcentral.